UUGGAGAGAUUCAUGGGAAACCAACUGGGACGUUUUCCUGUCCUGCGACCCUCUUGUCUUUCUCUUCUCAUUUCCCACCAUUGCCUCUGUGGGAGGGCUUCGGGGAUGAGGCUCUCACUAACCACAGAGCAGCACAGCCCCAUGUCCUAUCAGCUUAGACUCUUCAGAAGUUCUUAACUAUAGUCUGUCUAGUAGCAAUUUCCUCGUCCUGUUAGCCUCAAUCAAGUCUGAUCCUACACCCAACAUGUGUGGAAUGCAUGUUCUCCAAUUUGUCAGGCUUUGCUGAACCCAGGUGUUUAUCGAGUCUUUCUUUCUCUAGUGUGGUGCUGUGGGUUCUCAAGCAAGCAGCAGUUUAAACAUUUCUCACCUUGGUGAACAGUUUUGACAUCACCAGGUAACGAUCACCGGAAGCUGGAAAAACAUGCCAAUAGUGGAGUCAGAGGACAAGCUCAGCUUGAAUCUCCGCUCAACACCCAGUAUGGAAGGUGCAUGAAAUCGAGAUUUGAAGUUAACUGAGAAGAGCAAUGGAUUAUCCAGAGGCCUUGAACCAGACAAGUGACUCAUUGCAAUGAACAUUGCAAGUAAUGCUGAUAGGACAAAGGGGUGUACUACGUGACACCCCCGAGGCUCCCAAUGCCACUAAGACGGAUGAAGAGGAGAUGGAGAGGUAGAAAGACAGAAGAGCAAAAUGGGGUUUUUUGUUGGUUU
This is a non-coding RNA of Peromyscus maniculatus bairdii (prairie deer mouse), 708 nucleotides long. The record is from RefSeq and is a predicted model, not a curated record. Lineage: Eukaryota; Metazoa; Chordata; Mammalia; Rodentia; Cricetidae.